This 345-nucleotide ribosomal RNA is filed under the name Pseudomonadota bacterium. RNAcentral describes it as "bacterial SSU rRNA". It matches the Rfam family "Bacterial small subunit ribosomal RNA", at positions 1033 to 1377 of the family's 1533-position model. The record is from RNAcentral. Lineage: Bacteria; Pseudomonadati; Pseudomonadota.
CACAGGUGCUGCAUGGCUGUCGUCAGCUCGUGUCGUGAGAUGUUGGGUUAAGUCCCGCAACGAGCGCAACCCUCGUCCUUAGUUGCCAUCAUUCAGUUGGGCACUCUAAGGAGACUGCCGGUGAUAAGCCGGAGGAAGGUGGGGAUGACGUCAAGUCCUCAUGGCCCUUACGGGCUGGGCUACACACGUGCUACAAUGGUGGUGACAGUGGGAUGCAAAGGGGCGACCCCUCGCAAAUCUCCAAAAGCCAUCUCAGUUCGGAUUGCACUCUGCAACUCGAGUGCAUGAAGGUGGAAUCGCUAGUAAUCGUGGAUCAGCAUGCCACGGUGAAUACGUUCCCGGCGC